AGUGAACGCUGGCGGUAGGCCUAACACAUGCAAGUCGAACGGCAGCACAGUAAGAGCUUGCUCUUACGGGUGGCGAGUGGCGGACGGGUGAGGAAUACAUCGGAAUCUACUUUUUCGUGGGGGAUAACGUAGGGAAACUUACGCUAAUACCGCAUACGACCUACGGGUGAAAGCAGGGGAUCUUCGGACCUUGCGCGAUUGAAUGAGCCGAUGUCGGAUUAGCUAGUUGGCGGGGUAAAGGCCCACCAAGGCGACGAUCCGUAGCUGGUCUGGGAGGAUGAUAGGCCACACUGGAACUGAGCCACGGUCCAGACUCCUACGGGAGGCAGCAGUGGGGAAUAUUAGACAAUGGGCGCAAGCCUUAUCCAGCCAUACCGCGUGGGUGAAGAAGGCCUUCGGGUUGUAAAGCCCUUUUGUUGGGAAAGAAAAGCAGCAGGUUAAUACCCCGCUGUUCUGACGGUACCCAAAGAAUAAGCACCGGCUAACUUCGUG
Molecule: ribosomal RNA, 492 nt
Filed under: uncultured bacterium
Lineage: Bacteria
Description: partial 16S ribosomal RNA
Rfam family: Bacterial small subunit ribosomal RNA
Source: RNAcentral